ACUCUAGAUUUCUUAAUCAUCGGAUCUAAACAUUGGUCUGAGUGGCUAUAAAAGGGAAAAAAGCAAAACUGAAACAAACUUGCAUUCUUUUGUGACAUACAAGUUCAUUUCCAGCAAAC
This 119-nucleotide small nucleolar RNA is filed under the name Echinops telfairi (small Madagascar hedgehog). Its description in RNAcentral is "Small nucleolar RNA SNORA61 (ENSETEG00000025330.1)". Lineage: Eukaryota; Metazoa; Chordata; Mammalia; Afrosoricida; Tenrecidae. The record is from RNAcentral.